RNAcentral lists this unclassified non-coding RNA (432 nucleotides) under soil metagenome. RNAcentral describes it as "partial contains 5.8S ribosomal RNA, internal transcribed spacer 2, and large subunit ribosomal RNA". The stretch from base 1 to 120 matches the Rfam family "5.8S ribosomal RNA", at positions 35 to 154 of the family's 154-position model. The record is from RNAcentral.
GAUGAAGAACGCAGCGAAAUGCGAUACGUAAUGUGAAUUGCAGAAUUCAGUGAAUCAUCGAAUCUUUGAACGCAUAUUGCGCUCUCUGGUAUUCCGGAGAGCAUGCUUGUUUGAGUAUCAGUAAACACCUCAACUUCCAUAUCUUUUUUGAAAUGGGAGUUGGACUUGAGUGAUCCCAACGCUUUUCCUCACCGAAAAGUGGCGGGUUACUUGAAAUGCAGGUGCAGCUGGACUUUUCUCUGAGCUAUAAGCAUAUCUAUUUAGUCUGCCUAAAAAACAGAUUAUUACCUUUGCUGCAGCUAACAUAAAGGAGAUUAGUUCUUGUGCUGACUGAUGCAGGAUUCACAAAGACAGCUUCGGCCGACUUUGUAAACUCGAUCUCAAAUCAAGUAAGACUACCCGCUGAACUUAAGCAUAUCAAUAAGUGGAGGA